RNAcentral lists this ribosomal RNA (202 nucleotides) under uncultured bacterium. RNAcentral describes it as "partial 16S ribosomal RNA". It matches the Rfam family "Bacterial small subunit ribosomal RNA", at positions 30 to 232 of the family's 1533-position model. The record is from RNAcentral.
AUUGAACGCUGGCGGCAUGCCUUACACAUGCAAGUCGAACGGCAGCACGGGAGCAAUCCUGGUGGCGAGUGGCGAACGGGUGAGUAAUACAUCGGAACGUGCCCAGUAGUGGGGGAGUAACCGGCGAAGACCGGACUAAUACCGCAUACGACCUACGGGUGAAAGCAGGGAGUCGCAAGACCUUGCGCUAUCGGAGCGGCCG